RNAcentral lists this long non-coding RNA (1065 nucleotides) under Canis lupus familiaris (dog). RNAcentral describes it as "lncRNA (ENSCAFG00000046541.2)". The record is from RNAcentral. Lineage: Eukaryota; Metazoa; Chordata; Mammalia; Carnivora; Canidae.
AUGACUUGCCCAAGGCCACAGAAGUCGCUGGGACAGAGCGGGACUAGCAGCCGGGUUUCCACCUCCAGAAGGGCUCCUGUUUCGGCCACAGCCCCUUAUGCGACCCGGUGGAGCCUGCUCAGCCGGCCCACAUUACCCGGAAUCAAGCCGGGCACCCUGGCGUUGCGGGCGGGACGAGGCAGGGCGGGCGGGGCCGGAUGGGAGCCGGAUCUCCCCUGGGAGCGGCGCGCGGCCUCUCCGACCCGUCUGGCGGCGGCGGCGGCGGCGGCGGCAGGUGCCUGCGUGGCGGUCGGGCCCGGCCCCCGGGCGGGUGCUGAGAGGCCACCCCUGCCUCACGCGAGCCGAACGAACAAAACGCUCAGGUCCGGUUUGUGCGAGGGGCUCGUCGCGGGGCGGGAGCGGAGGGCCCGGGGCCUGGCUGGCGCCCUCGGCGAGCUCCUGGUCCUGGUCUUCUGCGAGCGCAGUGGCCCCCAGCGCGCCGCUAGCCGCCGCCCUCACCUGCGCGCAUCUGCGGCUGACACGUCGCCGGCCGAGGAGGCCACCCAGGUGCGCACCCGGCCCGCCCCUCCCUUCCUCCCUCCUGGUCACCCUUCACCUGGCCCGGCCCUGCUUGGCUUGGUCCCCAGCCCACUCCCCCGAGCUUGUGCGGGAGCCCGGGCUCAGCACGCUUUUAUACCGCCUGCUCAGUCCCCGCCCCUAGACACACACACACACGCACACGCACACACACACUCACACCUGUCCCGGGCGCCCGUUUGCUCGGAGCAAAUAUUGACUCAGAGGAGGCGGAGCGCCCCCACCCCCUCUCCGCCCCCGCCUGGGCUCUGGGGCUGGAGCUUUUCCGAGGCCUUGGCCGCGGGGGUGGAGGGGGGGUGUCGGGGACCUGGGCGCCUCUGGAACAACACCAGAUGUCACUUUUCCACCCACCUGCCUGGGGGGUGGGGGGGAGGAGCAGAGGACAGAGGCUGCCGGGAGGAGGUUAGGGGGGAGAGAGAGGUGGGUCUCCUAGGGAAGGUGGGACAUCACUUGCGCUGGGGAUUCAGAUUGACGAUGGGGGUCGCUUAG